GUAGGUGGCAAGCGUUGUCCGGAAUUAUUGGGCGUAAAGCGCGCGCAGGCGGGUCCUUUAAGUCUGAUGUGAAAGCCCACGGGCUCAACCGUGGAGGGUCAUUGGAAACUGGGGGACUUGAGUACAGAAGAGGAAAGCGGAAUUCCAAGUGUAGCGGUGAAAUGCGUAGAGAUUUGGAGGAACACCAGUGGCGAAGGCGGCUUUCUGGUCUGUAACUGACGCUGAGGCGCGAAGGCGUGGGGAGCAAACAGGAUUAGAUACCCUGGUAGUCCACGCCGUAAACGAUGAGUGCUAAGUGUUAGGGGGUUUCCGCCCCUUAGUGCUGCAGCUAACGCAUUAAGCACUCCGCCUGGGGAGUACGGCCGCAAAGGCUG
Molecule: ribosomal RNA, 374 nt
Filed under: uncultured organism
Description: partial 16S ribosomal RNA
Rfam family: Bacterial small subunit ribosomal RNA
Source: RNAcentral